GUAGGUGAACCUGCGGAGGGAUCAUUACCGAGUUUACAACUCCCAAACCCCUGUGAACAUACCAAUUGUUGCCUCGGCGGAUCAGCCCGCUCCCGGUAAAACGGGACGGCCCGCCAGAGGACCCCUAAACUCUGUUUCUAUAUGUAACUUCUGAGUAAAACCAUAAAUAAAUCAAAACUUUCAACAACGGAUCUCUUGGUUCUGGCAUCGAUGAAGAACGCAGCAAAAUGCGAUAAGUAAUGUGAAUUGCAGAAUUCAGUGAAUCAUCGAAUCUUUGAACGCACAUUGCGCCCGCCAGUAUUCUGGCGGGCAUGCCUGUUCGAGCGUCAUUUCAACCCUCAAGCCCCCGGGUUUGGUGUUGGGGAUCGGCGAGCCCUUGCGGCAAGCCGGCCCCGAAAUCUAGUGGCGGUCUCGCUGCAGCUUCCAUUGCGUAGUAGUAAAACCCUCGCAACUGGUACGCGGCGCGGCCAAGCCGUUAAACCCCCAACUUCUGAAUGUUGACCUCGGAUCAGGUAGGAAUACCCGCUGAACUUAAGCAUAUCAAUAGCCGGAGGAA
RNAcentral lists this ribosomal RNA (556 nucleotides) under Fusarium proliferatum. RNAcentral's name for it is "eukaryotic LSU rRNA". The stretch from base 176 to 329 matches the Rfam family "5.8S ribosomal RNA". Lineage: Eukaryota; Fungi; Ascomycota; Sordariomycetes; Hypocreales; Nectriaceae. The record is from RNAcentral.